GAUGAACGCUGGCGGCGUGCCUAAUACAUGCAAGUCGAACGAGGUGCUUGAGUAGCAAUACAAGAGUAUCCUAGUGGCGAACGGGUGAGUAACGCGUGGAUGACCUGCCCCAAAGUGUGGGAUAACAGUCCGAAAGGAUUGCUAAUACCUCAUGUGGUUAUCGGAUUUAGAAACUGAUAACUAAAGACAGCAAUGCGCUUUGGGAGGGGAUCUGCGUCCCACUCAGCUAGUUGGUUGAGGUAACGGCUCACCAAGGCGACGACGGGUAGGGGACCGUGAGAGGGUGGCCCCCGACCAACUA
RNAcentral lists this ribosomal RNA (301 nucleotides) under uncultured bacterium. RNAcentral's name for it is "bacterial SSU rRNA". It matches the Rfam family "Bacterial small subunit ribosomal RNA", at positions 28 to 317 of the family's 1533-position model. The record is from RNAcentral.